UGUCUCCGUUUGUUUGUUUUGCAGCAAGGCAAAGGAUCAGGCUGGGAGCCGCCGCAUCCCGGGAGGGAAUGGGGCCGAGAAGAAGGCCUCUCGCCACAGAGGAACAUCUCGCUGCACCGCUGCGGCUGCUGCCAAGACCCCCACCCAGAGAGUAGAGGAAUUGACGUGGAUUAUCAAUAUGCUGUUGUGUCCUUCAUUUAUCAAAUUAUUAUAAUAAAGUAUAUAAUUUAAUCUGC
This is a long non-coding RNA of Lacerta agilis (Sand lizard), 236 nucleotides long. RefSeq lists it as uncharacterized. The transcript has 3 exons. Lineage: Eukaryota; Metazoa; Chordata; Lepidosauria; Squamata; Lacertidae. The record is from RefSeq and is a predicted model, not a curated record.